AAGGCACUGGGCUUGGGAGGCGUACAAGCGACUGUGUUAGGUCCGUCCACUCGUGGCCGUAAACCCUAAUCCAAUCCCGAUCGAGGCGCGGCGGAGCGACCGCAUACCCCAAUCCAUCCACUCCUGAUUCGGUUGCUUCCAAAAAAAGUCCCGAUUGGAGGCGCAGCGGGAGCGACCGCAUCGAAUCCAUCCACUCCAGAUCCGAGGCGCAGAGAGGAUCCAAUGCAUCCAGUCUGUCCCGAUUCAAGGUGCGGUGGACCGACCACGUCGAAUCCAUCCAGCCCGGAUUCGAGGCGCAGAGAUGGCCAAUUCAUCAAUCCGUGAAUCGCCGUCCGGCUGGUCGUCUCUUGAAACUGCUACCGUGGGUUUGAAGGAAGUAAUCACUCUUCAGUUUCUCUCCAGCCAUUCAUGGUGGAUGAUGUGCGCCCCUUGCUGUCAUUAAUGGAUGCCUGGCUCUUUGUUUCUCAUUCUUCCGAUGUGUAUAUAUGCUUCCUCUACGCUCACUCUUCUAACUCCGGUGACAGAACAUCCAUCAGCAUGGUGCUCUUCUAGGUAUUGUUCAAACUGGGAGAUGGUCGAUUGUUUUGGCCAGAUAUUGGAAACUGGUUCUCGCAUCUUUUUUUCUGAAAUUCUUCAGGUGAUAGUUCUAAUGGCUUCUCGACAGAAGUGAGCAAAGCCCAAUAAUCUUACCGAUAUUUGGAAGUAUGUGUGUGGAUUUUCAAGACACGGUGCAGGCUUUGUUGCAUCAUUCCAAGUAUAAGGCAAGAUACACUUGGUUCAGUCUGGGGGCAGUGAUGUCAGCAAAUCGUUGGAAGAGAUCAGGAGGAGCUAUUUUAGUUACGACCUGAGGCACAACGAGCAGGAGGAGUUGGCCAACUGGAGUGCUAGAUUCAGGGCAAGUUUGCCUAAGCACUUUUAUUAGUUCCGUUGAUAAUACCAGGACUGGAGAACUGAAAGCCCUUGUAGAUGCAAGAGGAACAAGAUUGACAACGGCCUUUUGCAUUGCACUCUUCAUAAAGCUUCAAGCUCAAGGCCUUCGAUAUUUGUGAAGUUUUCCAGGAAGAAGAUUGACUAUAGCAUCUUGGAGUGCACUAAUAUUAAUAAAUAAACCCUUCAAUAUUUUUGUCGCCCAAAGGCUACAAGUUCUGUAAUUUACCCCAAAUACUUAGCAUUUUCUCUAACCAAAUAUGAGUGUAAUGUUUCAGAUCAUAUAUUCCCAGUAUUAUUAAGACAUCAUGUAUGUGAAGUUA
This is a long non-coding RNA of Triticum dicoccoides, 1250 nucleotides long. RefSeq lists it as uncharacterized. The record is from RefSeq and is a predicted model, not a curated record. The transcript has 6 exons. Lineage: Eukaryota; Viridiplantae; Streptophyta; Magnoliopsida; Poales; Poaceae.